RNAcentral lists this ribosomal RNA (492 nucleotides) under uncultured bacterium. RNAcentral's name for it is "partial 16S ribosomal RNA". It matches the Rfam family "Bacterial small subunit ribosomal RNA", at positions 29 to 507 of the family's 1533-position model. The record is from RNAcentral.
AGUGAACGCUGGCGGUAGGCCUAACACAUGCAAGUCGAACGGCAGCACAGUAAGAGCUUGCUCUUACGGGUGGCGAGUGGCGGACGGGUGCGGAAUACAUCGGAAUCUACUUUUUCGUGGGGGAUAACGUAGGGAAACUUACGCUAAUACCGCAUACGACCUACGGGUGAAAGCAGGGGAUCUUCGGACCUUGCGCGAUUGAAUGAGCCGAUGUCGGAUUAGCUAGUUGGCGGGGUAAAGGCCCACCAAGGCGACGAUCCGUAGCUGGUCUGAGAGGAUGAUCAGCCACACUGGAACUGAGACACGGUCCAGACUCCUACGGGAGGCAGCAGUGGGGAAUAUUGGACAAUGGGCGCAAGCCUGAUCCAGCCAUACCGCGUGUGUGAAGAAGGCCUUCGGGUUGUAAAGCCCUUUUGUUGGGAAAGAAAAGCAGCAGGUUAAUACCCCGCUGUUCUGACGUUACCCAAAGAAUAAGCACCGGCUAACUUCGUG